This 427-nucleotide ribosomal RNA is filed under the name uncultured bacterium. RNAcentral's name for it is "bacterial SSU rRNA". It matches the Rfam family "Bacterial small subunit ribosomal RNA", at positions 355 to 799 of the family's 1533-position model. The record is from RNAcentral.
UCGGGAAUUUUGGGCAAUGGGCGAAAGCCUGACCCAGCAACGCCGCGUGAAGGAUGAAGUAUUUCGGUAUGUAAACUUCGUAAGAAUAGGAAGAAUAAAUGACGGUACUAUUUGUAAGGUCCGGCUAACUACGUGCCAGCAGCCGCGGUAAUACGUAGGGACCAAGCGUUGUUCGGAUUUACUGGGCGUAAAGGGCGCGUAGGCGGCGUGGUAAGUCAUCUGUGAAAUCUCCGAGCUUAACUCGGAACGGUCAGAUGAUACUGCUGUGCUAGAGUACAGAAAGGGCAAUCGGAAUUCUUGGUGUAGCGGUGAAAUGCGUAGAUAUCAAGAGGAACACCUGAGGUGAAGACGGGUUGCUGGGCUGACACUGACGCUGAGGCGCGAAAGCCAGGGGAACAAACGGGAUUAGAUACCCGCGUAGUCCCUG